GAUGAACGCUGGCGGCGUGCCUAAUACAUGCAAGUCGAGCGAACGGACGAGAAGCUUGCUUCUCUGAUGUUAGCGGCGGACGGGUGAGUAACACGUGGAUAACCUACCUAUAAGACUGGGAUAACUUCGGGAAACCGUAGCUAAUACCGGAUAAUAUUUUGAACCGCAUGGUUCAAAAGUGAAAGACGGUCUUGCUGUCACUUAUAGAUGGAUCCGCGCUGCAUUAGCUAGUUGGUAAGGUAACGGCUUACCAAGGCAACGAUGCAUAGCCGACCUGAGAGGGUGAUCGGCCACACUGGAACUGAGACACGGUCCAGACUCCUACGGGAGGCAGCAGUAGGGAAUCUUCCGCAAUGGGCGAAAGCCUGACGGAGCAACGCCGCGUGAGUGAUGAAGGUCUUCGGAUCGUAAAACUCUGUUAUUAGGGAAGAACAGAUGUGGAAGUAACUGUGCACAUCUUGACGGUACCUAAUCAGAAAGCCACGGCUAACUACGUG
Molecule: ribosomal RNA, 497 nt
Filed under: uncultured bacterium
Lineage: Bacteria
Description: partial 16S ribosomal RNA
Rfam family: Bacterial small subunit ribosomal RNA
Source: RNAcentral